CGUAUCACUUAAAGCGAUUCAGCGGGUUACGAUUGACGGAGCGAAGCGACGUCAAAGCGUAUACAAAGUCGAGUCGGUUUAAGGAUACGUUCGUUGGGUAGGGGAGCGUUCUGUAAGCCUGUGAAGGUGGCCUGUGAGGGUUGCUGGAGGUAUCAGAAGUGCGAAUGCUGACAUAAGUAACGAUAAAGCGGGUGAAAAGCCCGCUCGCCGGAAGACCAAGGGUUCCUGUCCAACGUUAAUCGGGGCAGGGUGAGUCGACCCCUAAGGCGAGGCCGAAAGGCGUAGUCGAUGGGAAACGGGUUAAUAUUCCCGUACUUGGUGUUACUGCGAAGGGGGGACGGAGAAGGCUAUGUUGGCCGGGCGACGGUUGUCCCGGUUUAAGCGUGUAGGCUGGUUUUCCAGGCAAAUCCGGAAAAUCAAGGCUGAGGCGUGACGACGAGGCACUACGGUGCUGAAGCAACAAAUGCCCUGCUUCCAGGAAAAGCCUCUAAGCAUCAGGUAACAUCAAAUCGUACCCCAAACCGACACAGGUGGUCAGGUAGAGAAUACCAAGGCGCUUGAGAGAACUCGGGUGAAGGAACUAGGCAAAAUGGUGCCGUAACUUCGGGAGAAGGCACGCUGACACGUAGGUGAAGUGAUUUACUCAUGGAGCUGAAGUCAGUCGAAGAUACCAGCUGGCUGCAACUGUUUAUUAAAAACACAGCACUGUGCAAACACGAAAGUGGACGUAUACGGUGUGACGCCUGCCCGGUGCCGGAAGGUUAAUUGAUGGGGUCAGCGCAAGCGAAGCUCCUGAUCGAAGCCCCGGUAAACGGCGGCCGUAACUAUAACGGUCCUAAGGUAGCGAAAUUCCUUGUCGGGUAAGUUCCGACCUGCACGAAUGGCGUAAUGAUGGCCAGGCUGUCUCCACCCGAGACUCAGUGAAAUUGAACUCGCUGUGAAGAUGCAGUGUACCCGCGGCAAGACGGAAAGACCCCGUGAACCUUUACUAUAGCUUGACACUGAACAUUGAGCCUUGAUGUGUAGGAUAGGUGGGAGGCUUUGAAGUGUGGACGCCAGUCUGCAUGGAGCCGACCUUGAAAUACCACCCUUUAAUGUUUGAUGUUCUAACGUGGACCCGUAAUCCGGGUUGCGGACAGUGUCUGGUGGGUAGUUUGACUGGGGCGGUCUCCUCCUAAAGAGUAACGGAGGAGCACGAAGGUUGGCUAAUCCUGGUCGGACAUCAGGAGGUUAGUGCAAUGGCAUAAGCCAGCUUGACUGCGAGCGUGACGGCGCGAGCAGGUGCGAAAGCAGGUCAUAGUGAUCCGGUGGUUCUGAAUGGAAGGGCCAUCGCUCAACGGAUAAAAGGUACUCCGGGGAUAACAGGCUGAUACCGCCCAAGAGUUCAUAUCGACGGCGGUGUUUGGCACCUCGAUGUCGGCUCAUCACAUCCUGGGGCUGAAGUAGGUCCCAAGGGUAUGGCUGUUCGCCAUUUAAAGUGGUACGCGAGCUGGGUUUAGAACGUCGUGAGACAGUUCGGUCCCUAUCUGCCGUGGGCGCUGGAGAACUGAGGGGGGCUGCUCCUAGUACGAGAGGACCGGAGUGGACGCAUCACUGGUGUUCGGGUUGUCAUGCCAAUGGCACUGCCCGGUAGCUAAAUGCGGAAGAGAUAAGUGCUGAAAGCAUCUAAGCACGAAACUUGCCCCGAG
Molecule: ribosomal RNA, 1688 nt
Filed under: Salmonella enterica subsp. enterica serovar Kentucky
Lineage: Bacteria; Pseudomonadati; Pseudomonadota; Gammaproteobacteria; Enterobacterales; Enterobacteriaceae
Description: partial 23S ribosomal RNA
Rfam family: Bacterial large subunit ribosomal RNA
Source: RNAcentral